This 494-nucleotide ribosomal RNA is filed under the name uncultured bacterium. RNAcentral describes it as "partial 16S ribosomal RNA". It matches the Rfam family "Bacterial small subunit ribosomal RNA", at positions 28 to 507 of the family's 1533-position model. The record is from RNAcentral.
GACGAACGCUGGCGGCGCGCUUAACACAUGCAAGUCGAACGGAAAGGCCUGCUUUCCCUUGUGGAUUGCGGGUACUCGAGUGGCGAACGGGUGAGUAACACGUGAGUGAUCUGCCCCCAACUUGGGUAUAAGCCUGGGAAACUGGGUCUAAUUCCCGAUAGGACUGCAGGGUGGUGCCUGUGGUGGAAAACGAUUUUCUAGUGGUUGGUGAUGAGCUCGCGGCCUAUCAGCUUGUUGGUGGGGUAAUGGCCUACCAAGGCGGCGACGGGUAGCCGGCCUGAGAGGGUGGACGGCCACAUUGGGACUGGGUUACAGCCCAGACUCCUACGGGAGGCAGCAGUGGGGAAUAUUGCACAAUGGGCGGAAGCCUGAUGCAGCGACGCCGCGUGGGGGAUGACGGCCUUCGGGUUGUAAACUCCUUUCGACCGCGAGGAAGCCACCUGGUUGGAAGGGUGGUGACGGUAGUGGUAGAAGAAGCACCGGCUAACUACGUG